AGUAGGAACACCUACAAAAAGAAAAUUUCAUCCACAAGGAAGGAAUGAGAUGCAAGAAGCUAUGAUAUUUUGACUAAAAGACUACCUCAGCAAUAAAUUAUCUAAUGUAGGACUCGGAGGCCAAAACUUAUGAGAAAAACCUCCACGUGAUAUGCGUUUUAAAAAGAAAGCCCAGAAAUUACAACUCCAUACAAGUGUACAAGAGGCCAUUGUAACAUGAGCGCUACAGAAAUGGAAAAAGUGAGAUGUACUGCAGAACUUUGGAUGGAUUUAAAGCAUGUGAUGGAUGAAUGGAAAAGGGCGGCCAAGGAGCUGUUAAGUGAGGACUGAAGCCCGAGCCAGAAUCUUGGCAGCCAACAAGUGAAGACACCAGCAGAUUCUGAAAAGAUUAAACAGAUCACAAUGAGAGGAUAACUCUGGUGAUAAGGUUUCCCUGACAACUGGUGAUAAACUGGAUUACUCAGAUUAUGAAUGUCUAAACAAAGAGCAGGGAGACCAUCAGCAAAUUGCUUAUUGUUAUUAUUAUUUGUUUGCUUUUGUUGUUGUCAUUUUGUAAUUAAUGGAGACCUGAUCGUUUCUCUGCUAAGAAUCAUUUUUCUUGGCUCUCCUGUUUACUAAAUUUAAAUGAACUUCUUAGCAUGCAAUUAUAAGCCCUCCAUGAUCUGUUUGUCUCUGACCUGCCUUCCCAACUCUCCAUCUGACUACCACCUCACCCAUUCUCCAUUACCCUCUGCAACCCUGACCUGGUCAGUGCUCCCUGGAAAAGUCCUGUCACUGACCACCUCGAGGCACUUCCUUCUCAGAGCAUUUCUUUUAUUUUCUUAUGCCUUCUUCUGCUUCUUUUUCCCUAAAUUCUAAUGACCAUUUGAAACCUCUGCCAUGAAAUCUUCCUUGAUUCUUCCCCAAAGAAAUGAUCCUACAUCUUUUGUUCCACCGUGAGACUUUGGUUUCUGAUUAUAGCACCUUAGAGAUGAUCCCCGUAUAUUUCUUUCUGACAGACUUUGUGCAGCUGUCAGUCUCUCCAAAUGGGCUGUAUUUUGCUUAAGGCAUGACUUGCCUUAUUUGUCUCUCCAUCCCCAAACGCAUAAUAAACA
Long non-coding RNA from Physeter macrocephalus (sperm whale), 1094 nucleotides. RefSeq lists it as uncharacterized. NCBI's taxonomy places the organism in Eukaryota, Metazoa, Chordata, Mammalia, Artiodactyla, Physeteridae. The record is from RefSeq and is a predicted model, not a curated record. The transcript has 4 exons.